Molecule: ribosomal RNA, 466 nt
Filed under: uncultured bacterium
Lineage: Bacteria
Description: bacterial SSU rRNA
Rfam family: Bacterial small subunit ribosomal RNA
Source: RNAcentral
AAUCAACGCUGGCGGCGUGCCUAACACAUGCAAGUCGCACGAGAAAGUGGAGCAAUCCAUGAGUACAGUGGCGCACGGGUGAGUAACACGUGAAUAAUCUACCUCCGAGUGGGGAAUAACCUAGAGAAAUCUGGGCUAAUACCGCAUAACACUUACGAGUCAAAGCAGCAAUGCGCUUGGAGAGGAGUUCGCGGCCGAUUAGCUAGUUGGCGGGGAAUGGCCCACCAAGGCGAUGAUCGGUAUCCGGCCUGAGAGGGCGCACGGACACACUGGAACUGAAACACGGUCCAGACUCCUACGGGAGGCAGCAGUGGGGAAUAUUGGACAAUGGGCGCAAGCCUGAUCCAGCCAUGCCGCGUGAGUGAUGAAGGCCUUAGGGUUGUAAACCCCUGUUGCCCGGGACGAAUGUGCACUUUAGAGUGCAUUGACGGGUACCGGGUGAGGAAGCACCGGCUAACUCCGUGCC